ACGAACGCUGGCGGCGUGCUUCACACCUGCAAGUCGAACGGAAAGGCCCUGCUUUUGUGGGGUGCUCGAGUGGCGAACGGGUGGGUAACACGUGAGUAACCUGCCCUUGACUUUGGGAUAACUUCAGGAAACUGGGGCUAAUACCGGAUAGGAGCUCCUGCUGCAUGGUGGGGGUUGGAAAGUUUCGGCGGUUGGGGAUGGACUCGCGGCUUAUCAGCUUGUUGGUGGGGUAGUGGCUUACCAAGGCUUUGACGGGUAGCCGGCCUGAGAGGGUGACCGGCCACAUUGGGACUGAGAUACGGCCCAGACUCCUACGGGAGGCAGCAGUGGGGAAUAUUGCACAAUGGGCGGAAGCCUGAUGCAGCAACGCCGCGUGCGGGAUGACGGCCUUCGGGUUGUAAACCGCUUUCGCCUGUGACGAAGCGUGAGUGACGGUAAUGGGUAAAGAAGCACCGGCUAACUACGUG
RNAcentral lists this ribosomal RNA (467 nucleotides) under uncultured bacterium. Its description in RNAcentral is "partial 16S ribosomal RNA". It matches the Rfam family "Bacterial small subunit ribosomal RNA", at positions 29 to 507 of the family's 1533-position model. The record is from RNAcentral.